RNAcentral lists this ribosomal RNA (253 nucleotides) under uncultured bacterium. RNAcentral describes it as "partial 16S ribosomal RNA". It matches the Rfam family "Bacterial small subunit ribosomal RNA", at positions 524 to 776 of the family's 1533-position model. The record is from RNAcentral.
CACGGGGGGAGCAAGCGUUGUUCGGAAUCACUGGGCGUAAAGGGCGUGUAGGCGGUUUGGUAAGUGGGACGUGAAAUCCCUCGGCUCACCCGAGGACCUGCGUCCCAUACUGCCAGGCUCGAGUACGGGAGAGGAUGAAGGAAUUCCUGGUGUAGCGGUGAAAUGCGUAGAUAUCAGGAGGAACACCGGUGGCGAAGGCGUUCAUCUGGCCCGAUACUGACGCUGAGGCGCGAAAGCUAGGGGAGCAAACGGG